This is a long non-coding RNA of Syngnathus typhle (broad-nosed pipefish), 359 nucleotides long. RefSeq lists it as uncharacterized. The record is from RefSeq and is a predicted model, not a curated record. The transcript is spliced from 2 exons. Lineage: Eukaryota; Metazoa; Chordata; Actinopteri; Syngnathiformes; Syngnathidae.
GCGAUAGUUUGCAAGAGGGAGGGAAGGACAGACCAGGCGAGACCAAGAGCAUGCUCACAACCAGAAAGCCGGAAGAAGGAAUGGAACUCUUCUUGGACAGUGUCCCAAUACUGUAAAUAAGAGGUGUCCACUCAAAAGGAUUUCUUUCAGUGUUAAGUUCUGCCUCUUCCAGUAUGUCUCAGCUUUACUCCUCCCUCUGACCUGAGCAGCUCCUUCAAUGCCGCUCCAUUACUGCAAGUCAUUCUUGCUUACAUUACUAAGACUGAUCAGUUGCAAUAAAUAACGACACAUCCAAAUAACUUUUGCAAAUGUCACUAAUGUGCAAUAUUUGCUGUACAAUAAAAGCAAGGUGCAACACA